GCAAACCUACGGGACGCAGCAGUGAGGAAUAUUGGUCAAUGGGCGCGAGCCUGAACCAGCCACGUAGCGUGAAGGAUGACUGCCCUACGGGUUGUAAACUUCUUUUAUAAAGGAAUAAGGUGAGGCACGUGUGCCUUUUUGUAUGUACUUUAUGAAUAAGGAUCGGCUAACUCCGUGCCAGCAGCCGCGGUAAUACGGAGGAUCCGAGCGUUAUCCGGAUUUAUUGGGUUUGAAGGGAGCGUAGAUGGGUUGUUAAGUCAGUUGUGAAAGUUUGCGGCUCAACCCUAAAAUUGCAAUUGAUACUG
RNAcentral lists this ribosomal RNA (305 nucleotides) under uncultured bacterium. Its description in RNAcentral is "bacterial SSU rRNA". It matches the Rfam family "Bacterial small subunit ribosomal RNA", at positions 333 to 635 of the family's 1533-position model. The record is from RNAcentral.